UGAAGCACCUUCGGGUGUGAAUUAGCGGCGAACGGGUGAGGAACACGUGAAGAAUCUGCCUUCAACUCUGGGAUAACUCCGGGAAACCGGGGCUAAUACCGGAUAUGAGCCUUGAUCGCAUGAUCGGGGCUGGAAAGUUUUUCGGUUGAAGAUGACUUCGCGGCCUAUCAGCUUGUUGGUGAGGUAAUGGCUCACCAAGGCGACGACGGGUAGCCGGCCUGAGAGGGCGACCGGCCACACUGGGACUGAGACACGGCCCAGACUCCUACGGGAGGCAGCAGUGGGGAAUAUUGGGCAAUGGAGGAAACUCUGACCCAGCGACGCCGCGUGAGGGAUGAAGGCCUUCGGGUUGUAAACCUCUUUCAGUAGGGAAGAAGCGAAAGUGACGGUACCUACGGGGGGGAGCACCGGCUAACUAUGUGCCAGCAGCCGCGGUAAUACAUAGGGUGCAAGCGUUGUCCGGAAUUAUUGGGCGUAAAGAGCUCGUAGGUGGUUCGAUACGUCGGAUGUGAAAAUCAGGGGCUCAACCCCUGACCUGCAUCCGAUACGGUCGAGCUAGAGUUUGGUAGGGGAGACUGGAAUUCCUGGUGUAGCGGUGGAAUGCGCAGAUAUCAGGAGGAACACCGAUGGCGAAGGCAGGUCUCUGGGCCAAUACUGACACUGAGGAGCGAAAGCGUGGGGAGCGAACAGGAUUAGAUAC
This 700-nucleotide ribosomal RNA is filed under the name uncultured bacterium. RNAcentral describes it as "bacterial SSU rRNA". It matches the Rfam family "Bacterial small subunit ribosomal RNA", at positions 70 to 785 of the family's 1533-position model. The record is from RNAcentral.